CGAGAAUACCCGGCGAAUUUAAGCAUAUUACUAACCGGAGGAAAAGAAACCAACAGGGACGUCCUCAGUAGCGGCGAGCGAAGCGGACGAUGCCCAAACCGAACCGCGGUUCCCGAGGGGGCCGCGGAGUGUGGAGAGGAUGAGCUCGCGAGGGGGCGGGACGGGUUCCAAUCCGUCUGGAAGGGCGGAGGCACGGAGGGCGAUUCCCCGUACGUGCUCGGUCCGUCCCCGACGAGCGAACGCAUCGGAGAGUCGGGCCGCUUGAGAGUGCAGCCCGAAUGGGGUGAUAGGUCUCAUCCAAGGCUAAGUACGUGGGAGACGCCGAUAGCGAACAAGUACGGCGACGGAAAGGUGAAAAGAACCUCGAAAGGGGGGUCAAAAGCGCUCGAAAUCGUAGAGGGGGAAGCGGACCUGACCGACGAGACCUCGUCGUCGCUCGCGCUCGCCACGCUUCGUCGCGGAGUUCCGGA
Molecule: ribosomal RNA, 470 nt
Filed under: uncultured eukaryote
Lineage: Eukaryota
Description: eukaryotic LSU rRNA
Rfam family: Eukaryotic large subunit ribosomal RNA
Source: RNAcentral